CUAAAGGCUCUUUUCAGAGCCACCUACGUUUCCGCUAAGAGCAGCU
This is a non-coding RNA of Heterocephalus glaber (naked mole-rat), 46 nucleotides long. Lineage: Eukaryota; Metazoa; Chordata; Mammalia; Rodentia; Bathyergidae. The record is from Rfam.